UGCAGUCGAACGAUGACUUCUGUGCUUGCACAGAAUGAUUAGUGGCGAACGGGUGAGUAACACGUGAGUAACCUGCCCUUAACUUCGGGAUAAGCCUGGGAAACUGGGUCUAAUACCGGAUACGACCACCUGGCGCAUGCCAUGGUGGUGGAAAGCUUUAUGCGGUUUUGGAUGGACUCGCGGCCUAUCAGCUUGUUGGUUGGGGUAAUGGCCCACCAAGGCGACGACGGGUAGCCGGCCUGAGAGGGUGACCGGCCACACUGGGACUGAGACACGGCCCAGACUCCUACGGGAGGCAGCAGUGGGGAAUAUUGCACAAUGGGCGAAAGCCUGAUGCAGCGACGCCGCGUGAGGGAUGACGGCCUUCGGGUUGUAAACCUCUUUCAGCAGGGAAGAAGCGAAAGUGACGGUACCUGCAGAAGAAGCGCCGGCUAACUACGUGCCAGCAGCCGCGGUAAUACGUAGGGCGCAAGCGUUAUCCGGAAUUAUUGGGCGUAAAGAGCUCGUAGGCGGUUUGUCGCGUCUGCUGUGAAAGCCCGGGGCUCAACCCCGGGUCUGCAGUGGGUACGGGCAGACUAGAGUGCAGUAGGGGAGACUGGAAUUCCUGGUGUAGCGGUGAAAUGCGCAGAUAUCAGGAGGAACACCGAUGGCGAAGGCAGGUCUCUGGGCUGUAACUGACGCUGAGGAGCGAAAGCAUGGGGAGCGAACAGGAUUAGAUACCCUGGUAGUCCAUGCCGUAAACGUUGGGCACUAGGUGUGGGGGACAUUCCACGUUUUCCGCGCCGUAGCUAACGC
RNAcentral lists this ribosomal RNA (795 nucleotides) under Arthrobacter sp. YIM 100297. Its description in RNAcentral is "bacterial SSU rRNA". It matches the Rfam family "Bacterial small subunit ribosomal RNA", at positions 56 to 858 of the family's 1533-position model. The record is from RNAcentral. Lineage: Bacteria; Bacillati; Actinomycetota; Actinomycetes; Micrococcales; Micrococcaceae.